This 492-nucleotide ribosomal RNA is filed under the name uncultured bacterium. RNAcentral's name for it is "partial 16S ribosomal RNA". It matches the Rfam family "Bacterial small subunit ribosomal RNA", at positions 29 to 507 of the family's 1533-position model. The record is from RNAcentral.
AGUGAACGCUGGCGGUAGGCCUAACACAUGCGAGUCGAACGGCAGCACAGUAAGAGCUUGCUCUUACGGGUGGCGAGUGGCGGACGGGUGAGGAAUACAUCGGAAUCUACUUUUUCGUGGGGGAUAACGUAGGGAAACUUACGCUAAUACCGCAUACGACCUACGGGUGAAAGCAGGGGAUCUUCGGACCUUGCGCGAUUGAAUGAGCCGAUGUCGGAUUAGCUAGUUGGCGGGGUAAAGGCCCACCAAGGCGACGAUCCGUAGCUGGUCUGAGAGGAUGAUCAGCCACACUGGAACUGAGACACGGUCCAGACUCCUACGGGAGGCUGCAGUGGGGAAUAUUGGACAAUGGGCGCAAGCCUGAUCCAGCCAUACCGCGUGGGUGAAGAAGGCCUUCGGGUUGUAAAGCCCUUUUGUUGGGAAAGAAAAGCAGCAGGUUAAUACCCCGCUGUUCUGACGGUACCCAAAGAAUAAGCACCGGCUAACUUCGUG